AUGAACGCUGGCGGCGUGCCUAAUCCCUGCAAGUCGAGCGAACAGAUAAGGAGCUUGCUCCUUUGACGUUAGCGGCGGACGGGUGAGUAACACGUGGGUAACCUACCUAUAAGACUGGGAUAACUUCGGGAAACCGGAGCUAAUACCGGAUAACAUUUGGAACCGCAUGGUUCUAAAGUGAAAGAUGGUUUUGCUAUCACUUAUAGAUGGACCCGCGCCGUAUUAGCUAGUUGGUAAGGUAACGGCUUACCAAGGCAACGAUACGUAGCCGACCUGAGAGGGUGAUCGGCCACACUGGAACUGAGACACGGUCCAGACUCCUACGGGAGGCAGCAGUAGGGAAUCUUCCGCAAUGGGCGAAAGCCUGACGGAGCAACGCCGCGUGAGUGAUGAAGGGUUUCGGCUCGUAAAACUCUGUUAUUAGGGAAGAACAAAUGUGUAAGUAACUGUGCACGUCUUGACGGUACCUAAUCAGAAAGCCACGGCUAACUACGUG
RNAcentral lists this ribosomal RNA (496 nucleotides) under uncultured bacterium. RNAcentral's name for it is "partial 16S ribosomal RNA". It matches the Rfam family "Bacterial small subunit ribosomal RNA", at positions 29 to 507 of the family's 1533-position model. The record is from RNAcentral.